Long non-coding RNA from Rosa rugosa (rugosa rose), 620 nucleotides. RefSeq lists it as uncharacterized. The record is from RefSeq and is a predicted model, not a curated record. Lineage: Eukaryota; Viridiplantae; Streptophyta; Magnoliopsida; Rosales; Rosaceae. The transcript has 3 exons.
UCUGACCCUUCUUUACCUAUGGAUAGCGGCGACCCUCUCUCUCUCUCUCUUCUUUCUCGAUGCAUCGAGUCUCCUUCCCUCUUUCCCAGAUAAAAAAAAACCCAAAAAAGUCAGAAAAAAAUGAGAAGCAGCGAGAGUCGAGGAAAGAGAGAUGACCUUCCGGCUGUCUAAGAUCGGCGUCAGAAAAGAGAGGAAGAAGAGAGAGGCAGCAAGAGAAGAGAAGAGGAGAGAGAUGGGGUCGAAUAACCAGACUGCCCAAUGAAUCUGCGUAGGCAUAUAUGGACGGGGAGAUAUGAAGCUCAUUUAUGGAACAAAGGGUCUUGGAAUCCAACACAAAGGAAGAAGGGAAAACAGGGGCUUAUGACGAAGAAGAAUCCACAACAAAAGCAUAUGAGUUGGCAGCACUCAAGUAGUGGGGAACAUCAACUUUUACAAAUUUUCUGGUGUCGGAUUAUGAGAAUGAAAUUGAUCUGUUGAACACUAACAAAAAGAAGAGUACUUGGCCUUUCUAAGAAGCUAAUUAUUCAUCUUCAAAUUAACAAGCAGUUGAGCAGCCUACCUAACUGUUGUAAAAAUUUCAAGAGAUGAAUUUGAUCUAUCUAUUUACUAAUUAUUUGAUA